AGCGAACGCUGGCGGCAGGCUUAACACAUGCAAGUCGAGCGGGCGUAGCAAUACGUCAGCGGCAGACGGGUGAGUAACGCGUGGGAACAUACCUUUUGGUUCGGAACAACACAGGGAAACUUGUGCUAAUACCGGAUAAGCCCUUACGGGGAAAGAUUUAUCGCCGAAAGAUUGGCCCGCGUCUGAUUAGCUAGUUGGUGAGGUAACGGCUCACCAAGGCGACGAUCAGUAGCNGGUCUGAGAGGAUGAUCAGCCACAUUGGGACUGAGACACGGCCCAAACUCCUACGGGAGGCAGCAGUGGGGAAUAUUGGACAAUGGGCGCAAGCCUGAUCCAGCCAUGCCGCGUGAGUGAUGAAGGCCCUAGGGUUGUAAACCUCUUUCAGCGCCGAAGAAGCGAAAGUGACGGUAGGCGCAGAAGAAGCACCGGCUAACUACGUGCCAGCAG
Molecule: ribosomal RNA, 447 nt
Filed under: uncultured bacterium
Lineage: Bacteria
Description: bacterial SSU rRNA
Rfam family: Bacterial small subunit ribosomal RNA
Source: RNAcentral